Molecule: long non-coding RNA, 878 nt
Organism: Balaenoptera musculus (blue whale)
Lineage: Eukaryota; Metazoa; Chordata; Mammalia; Artiodactyla; Balaenopteridae
Exons: 3
Source: RefSeq, a predicted model, not a curated record
CCGGAUCGGUCUUCGAGCGCAGUGCCUGGCCCUGGCGGGCCACGUCCGAUCCCCGGGCCCGCAGCGAGGGAGCGCGAAGGUCGGCCUUCAGUUCUGCAGAUGGGAGAUUGAGGGGUCCACAUGGAUACAGAUGGCCCCUAGGAGCUGACAUUGGCUCCUGGUGACAGGCAGCAAGGAAAUAGGGACCUCAGUCCUCCAGUCACAAAAAAAGGGCCCGAAUUCUGCUAACAACCCAAAUGAACUUGGAAGAGGAUCCUGAGCUUCAGCACCUACACCUUAACUUCAGCCUGUGAGGCCCUCAGCAGAAAACCCAGCUACACCGGGCCCAGAUUUAAGACUAGCACAACUGUGAGCUGGAAGUCAAAGAAGUGUCUUUCACAUACACACAAUCGCAAGCAUCUAUGAUGGAGUCAAGAGACUGAAGAUCUUGAAACAUGGAGGUCUGCAGUCCCUGUUGUUUCUAUUAAUGGAAACAUGGUUCUAUUUUAAGCCAAAUUGAUCUUCUGAUUGUAGAAUUGCAGCAAAUACUCAGAAGGCCUUGCAAACAAAAGAGUAAACACAUGGAGAACUGGUCCCUCUGCCAGAUUCAGCGAACACCAUUUUUAUAUCCUAAUUGCCGGGAAUGGGGACAGCUGCAUCAUUGUUUAAAACACACACUCAUGCACAAUUAAGCCAAGAAUAAAUGUCAACACUGGCACAAUCUGCUAAAUAACUGAUAACUGAUGGGCAUUACUCAUGCUGUGAGCGUUGUCUCCAAUAGAAAAUGGAAAGAUUCCUAUUUGGAAAAGAUCUUAGAGGUUUCUACUGGUUUAAGAAAGCUGGGUUUACCAAGGGGGAAAGGGGGGUGGUGGGAUGAAUUGGGAGAUUGGAAUUGACAU